GUAGGUGGCAAGCGUUGUCCGGAAUUAUUGGGCGUAAAGCGCGCGCAGGCGGUUCUUUAAGUCUGAUGUGAAAGCCCACGGCUCAACCGUGGAGGGUCAUUGGAAACUGGAGAACUUGAGUACGGAAGAGGAAAGCGGAAUUCCACGUGUAGCGGUGAAAUGCGUAGAGAUGUGGAGGAACACCAGUGGCGAAGGCGGCUUUCUGGUCUGUAACUGACGCUGAGGCGCGAAAGCGUGGGGAGCAAACAGGGAUUAGAUACCCUGGUAGUCCACGCCGUAAACGAUGAGUGCUAAGUGUUAGGGGGUUUCCGCCCCCUUAGUGCUGCAGCUAACGCAUUAAGCACUCCGCCUGGGGAUACGGCCGCAAGGCUG
This 372-nucleotide ribosomal RNA is filed under the name uncultured organism. RNAcentral's name for it is "partial 16S ribosomal RNA". It matches the Rfam family "Bacterial small subunit ribosomal RNA", at positions 527 to 896 of the family's 1533-position model. The record is from RNAcentral.